Molecule: long non-coding RNA, 2405 nt
Filed under: Anolis carolinensis (green anole)
Lineage: Eukaryota; Metazoa; Chordata; Lepidosauria; Squamata; Anolidae
Description: lncRNA (ENSACAG00000036225.1)
Source: RNAcentral
AGGCAAAGGAAAGAAUAUGGAGAAUGUAACUCAAAGUGGAACAUUGUCUUAGCACCACCCCCAUCAAAUAUACCCAUAGAUUCUUCUUUCUUCUUCUACCAAUGUGUUCUUUAGCAACUUCUAUGUAUUGGCAACUGUAGACUACAGGGAUUUUUAAAAAAUGUAUCCCCAAAUGUCUCCAAACAUCCUCUAAGGCAGUGGUUCUCAAACUUUGGUUCUCCAGGUGUUUUGGACUUUAGUUCCCAGAAGCCUCAACAAUGCAUGCUUGGCCAUCACUCAGGAUAUCUAUGAUCCAAACUCAGGCUGCUUUAGACCAAACCAGAAAUCUUGUUACAGUAGAGUCUCACUUAUCCAAGACUCGCUUAUCCAAGGUUCUGGAUUAUCCAAUGCAUUUUUGUAGUCAAUGUUUUCAAUACAUCGUGAUAUUUUGGUGCUAAAUUCGUAAAUACAGUAAUUACUACAUAGCAUUACUGUGUGUUUUUUCCGUCAAAUUUGUUGUAUAACAUGAUGUUUUGGUGCUUAAUUUGUAAAAUCUCAACCUAAUUUGAUGUUUAAUAGGCUUUUCCUUAAUCCCUCCUUAUUGUCCAAGAUAUUCGCUUAUCCAAGGUUCUGCCAGGCCAUUUAGCUUGGAUAAGUGAGACUCUACUGUAAUUUAUGUAAAGCAAAUGCACUAAUGUUUUCACCCAGCAGGUGGCAACAUUCAUCCAGUUUACAUUAUUCUAACUGAAAUAAAGCUUGGGAAAGUCUUCUCUUAUGGGUUACCUACUUACUUACUGAGGUAUGGAGAAACCUCACAACCUCUGAGGAUGCCUGCCAUAGAUGUGGGCAAAACGUCAGGAGAGAAUACUUCUGGAACAUGGCCAUACAGCCCGGAAAACAUACAACAACCCUGUGAUCCCAGCCAUGAAAGCCUUCGACAACUCUUUGAUGGUUGUAGCCAGUGUUCUUUUCUGCAUCCCAUUUCACUCUGAUUCUACCCCACAAAUACGUGAUUGUAUGAGGGUUGAAUGAAAAGUAAUGCCUCCACCUUCGUAACUCCUCAACAGAUGGCAGUCCUGGUCUGUGGCAGGUACUGGAUUAUUCAGUAGACUCUCUUCUACAGUUCCAUUUGGCGGGAAGCCUUAGCAUUGAAUGGUUGUGCCAAGUAUGGAACCCUGCGCAGACGGUCGGUCAAUGUGACUUAAGCAACGUGCAGUCACUGAAUUCUUGACAGCAGAAGGCGUCACCCCAAAGGAGAUUCAUCAGAGAAUACAAGCUGUUUAUGGUGAUUGUAUUGAUGUGAGUACGGGUGAGUAAGUUUAAAGAUGUUGAUGUCCGAAAGGAAAAGGGAAAUGUUUUUCUGCAGCAUGACAAUGCCAAACCACACACUUCACAUACCACUAUAGCAGAACUUCAGAGACUGGAUCUCACCACAGUACAGCAACCUCCAUACAGUCCAGAUUUAGCACCAUCUGAUUUCCAUCUGUUCCCAAUAAUGAAAGAAGAUCUGCGGGACAUCAUUAUGCUUCUGAUGAAGACGUUGAGAGAACUGUGAGACGCUGGUUGCGGAAACAGAGUGUUGACUUCUUCCAUGACGACUUCAGAAAACGUGUUCAUCGUUGGCAGAAAUGUAUCCAAUUGCCUGCUGGUGAUGUGGAAAAGUGAAUAGCGGUAGUUAAAGAGCACCUUCUAAGGAUUAUUUCUGCAUUUGAUUUAUUAAAAUAUUCCCAUCCAAACUCAAGUAAUGAAAGUGGAAGCAUUACUUUUCAUGCAACCCUCGUAUUAUUUGAUAAUUUGAUAUAAAAAAUAGUCCCUCUAGGAAUAUCUCGGUCGUCUACUUCACUUUUACAGUCAACUUCCCAUAAAGAGGACUCUUCUGUGUUUGUGUGUGUGUAUAUAUAUUACUGAGUUACUAGGAAAUCUUUCAAACAUUACUUUUGUUAUUGGCACAACUAUAGAUCUCUGUUCUCAUUGAGCAUAGAGAAGUUUUAAAAUGUCCUUUUCCCAAGCUGUGCAAUUAUUGUUGGCAGCUGGCACAGGGUUCCUACAGUCUGAAGUCUGUAGGAUGACACUCCUUGGCAGCCAAAAGAUUAAUGCAUGGAGGUUGAUUAACGCAUGAUAUAUUGGCUGAAUCCUUCUAGACUAAGGGUCAAAGGCCUGGGUGGAGUUAGAGUCUUCUGAGAAAGCCUUUAUCUGAAAAGCCUCAUGCACAGUUCAUUUGUAUUAUCAAAGAGAAUUGGUUUUUGUAGAACUAAGUCAGCAAGUCCCAUCCUCACAAUGGUAUGGCAAUAGAGAUUCUAGAAACUGCCUGUCUGAUUCAGGGCACCACAAUUUAAAAGAGGAGAACGGUGACUAACAUGAUCAAAGAUCUGGAGACCAUGUCCUACGAGAAGUACUUUAAGAGCUGGUUAUGCUUAACCUGUAGA